This 62-nucleotide transfer RNA is filed under the name Whitmania laevis. RNAcentral describes it as "tRNA-Ile". Lineage: Eukaryota; Metazoa; Annelida; Clitellata; Hirudinida; Haemopidae. RNAcentral also lists the same sequence under 1 other name. The record is from RNAcentral.
AACAUUAAGCCGGAUUAACGGAUGACAUUGAUGGUGUUAAAUAUGAAUAAUUUCUAGUGUUU